This 565-nucleotide ribosomal RNA is filed under the name Peltophryne empusa (Cuban small-eared toad). RNAcentral describes it as "Peltophryne empua (Cuban small-eared toad) partial 16S ribosomal RNA". It matches the Rfam family "Bacterial large subunit ribosomal RNA", at positions 1819 to 2597 of the family's 2925-position model. Lineage: Eukaryota; Metazoa; Chordata; Amphibia; Anura; Bufonidae. The record is from RNAcentral.
CGCCUCUUGAAUCAAUAUAAGAGGUCCAGCCUGCCCAGUGACCCUGUUCAACGGCCGCGGUAUCCUAACCGUGCGAAGGUAGCGUAAUCACUUGUUCUUUAAAUGAGGACUAGUAUGAACGGCAUCACGAAGGUUAUACUGUCUCCUUUUUCUAAUCAGUGAACCUAAUCUCCCCGUGAAGAAGCGGGGAUCUAAUUAUAAGACGAGAAGACCCUAUGGAGCUUAAAACAACACAGCACUUGCUAAAAAACUAAACAAUUUCAGAAUUUUCAUUUUCUAAGCAACAUGACUGUAAGUUUUUGGUUGGGGUGACCACGGAGUAUAAUAUAACCUCCAUGUUGGAAGAAUUUUAUUCUAAGCCAAAAAUUACAUUUUUAAGCAUCAAUAAAUUGACAUCUAUUGACCCAAUAUAUUUGAACAACGAACCAAGUUACCCUAGGGAUAACAGCGCAAUCCACUUCAAGAGCUCCUAUCGACAAGUGGGUUUACGACCUCGAUGUUGGAUCAGGGUAUCCCAGUGGUGCAGCCGCUACUAAAGGUUCGUUUGUUCAACGAUUAAAACCCU